UUACCGGCUUGACAUGACAGAGAUUCCUUCGGGCACAGGUGCUGCAUGGCUGUCGUCAGCUCGUGUCGUAAGAUGUUAGGUUAAGUCCUGCAACGAGCGCAACCCUGUUUUAGUUGCCAGCAUAUGGGACUCUAGAAGACUGCCGGUGUUAACCGGAGGAAGGCGGGGAUGACGUCAAGUCCUCAUGGCCCUUACGCCGGGCUACACACGUACUACAAUGGGAAACAACAGGCACCGCGAGGGGAGCAAUCUGUAAAACAUCUCAGUCCGGAUUGAAGUCUGCAACUCGACUUCAUGAAGCUGGAAUCGCUAGUAAUCGGAAUCAGCACGUUCGGUGAAUACGUUCCCGGGCCUUGUACACACCGCCCGUCACACCACGAGAGUGGUCUACCGAA
This 395-nucleotide ribosomal RNA is filed under the name uncultured bacterium. Its description in RNAcentral is "bacterial SSU rRNA". It matches the Rfam family "Bacterial small subunit ribosomal RNA", at positions 971 to 1425 of the family's 1533-position model. The record is from RNAcentral.